RNAcentral lists this ribosomal RNA (1266 nucleotides) under Triticum aestivum (bread wheat). RNAcentral describes it as "partial small subunit ribosomal RNA". Lineage: Eukaryota; Viridiplantae; Streptophyta; Magnoliopsida; Poales; Poaceae. The record is from RNAcentral.
AUGGACACCGGCGAGCAAGCCGGCGAGGAGUCGUCGGCGAACCGCCGGGAGCGCCUCCUCGCCCUCCGCUCCUCCGCCGCCGCCGCUGCCGCUUCCUCCACCUCCUCCUCGCCAUCUGCCGCGCCGCCGCCGCCCGCGUGGGAUCUCCCGGAGCCCGACCUGGCGCCCACCUCCUCGGCCCCGCGCCCGCGCUCGCGGUUCGACUUCUACACCAACCCCGGCGCGGCCUUCUCCUCCGCCACCGCCGCCGUCCCGCAGAAGCGCAAGAACGCCGACCCCCCGGGCCCCAAUCCCGCCCCGGCCCCGCCUCACGGGAACUAUGGUAACAAUUAUCCUCCUCCACACCAGCACCAUAUGGCCCAAUCUCCGAUGGAAGGUGCGCCAGGGAAUAGUCCAUGGAGAAGUCCUAUGCAGUUCCAGACUCCUAUGUCUGGAUACCGAGGAACACCUCCUGGACCUCCACCUCACUGGAACUCACAUUCUGCUUCUCCAGCUCAAGAUCCGUAUCCACAUCAAACCAACUUUGGGUUCAGAGGCCCUAAUGUUGGCCGAGGGGGCAGCCCGAUGAAUUAUGGACCAGGAGGUAGCCCGAUGAAUUACGGACCAAGAGGUAACCCGAUGAAUUACGGACCAGGGGGUAGCCCGAUGAGUUACGAACCAAGAGGAAGCCCGAGGAGUUAUGUACCAAGAGGUAGCCCGCACUCGUCUUCCGGACGUGGCAGGGGCGAGAACUACUACCACAGCCCAGGUUCGAGAGGAAGAGGGGGAAGGGGUGGCUUCCAGAACCAUUCUGGAUCGCAAGAUCAGAGGAACUUCUACAGGAAGUCCAUGGUGGAUGAUCCUUGGCAGGGCUUGCAACCUAUCGUUGGCAGCAUACUGCCCAUCGAUGACGCCAAUUCCUGGCUUCCAGAGUCAUUGUGCAAAAAGGAGACACCUAAUCAAGGCAGGGGCGAGAACUACUACCACAGCCCAGGUUCGAGAGGAAGAGGGGGAAGGGGUGGCUUCCAGAACCAUUCUGGGUCGCAAGAUCAGAGGAACUUCUACAGGAAGUCCAUGGUUGAUGAUCCUUGGCAGGGCUUGCAGCCUAUCGUUGGCAACAUACUGAAACCCAUCGAUGGCGCCAAGUCCUGGCUUCCAGAGUCAUUGCGCAAAAAGGAGACACCUAAUCAAGGCCGAACAAUUUCAAAUCCAACAUCAGGGUUGAGUCUGGCAGAAUACCUCACCUCGUCUUUCAACGAGGCUUCUGACGAGUCUAAUGAGACGUGA